GUGCCAGCCGCCGCGGUAAUACGGAGGAUCCGAGCGUUAUCCGGAUUUAUUGGGUUUAAAGGGUGCGUAGGUGGCCUGGUAAGUCAGGGGUGAAAGACGGUAGCUUAACUAUCGCAGUGCCUUUGAUACUGCCGGGCUUGAAUACAGUUGAAGUGGGCGGAAUGUGACAAGUAGCGGUGAAAUGCAUAGAUAUGUCACAGAACACCGAUUGCGAAGGCAGCUCACUAAAGUGUGAUUGACACUGAGGCACGAAAGCGUGGGGAUCAAACAGGAUUAGAAACCCGCGUAGUCC
Molecule: ribosomal RNA, 292 nt
Filed under: uncultured bacterium
Lineage: Bacteria
Description: partial 16S ribosomal RNA
Rfam family: Bacterial small subunit ribosomal RNA
Source: RNAcentral